GGUAGUAUGGCUGAUUUAAGCGGUCACCCAAUCUGUAAAAUUACACAUAGGGUGUUUAAUCACCCUUGCCACCA
This 74-nucleotide transfer RNA is filed under the name Fowlea piscator (Checkered keelback). RNAcentral's name for it is "tRNA-Tyr". Lineage: Eukaryota; Metazoa; Chordata; Lepidosauria; Squamata; Natricidae. The record is from RNAcentral.